GGGUCGCUAGCUCAAUUGGUUAGUAGCACCGGACUUUUAAUCCGGGGGUUCCGAGUUCGAGUCUCGGGCGACCCACCA
This 78-nucleotide transfer RNA is filed under the name compost metagenome. RNAcentral describes it as "tRNA-Lys". It matches the Rfam family "tRNA". Rfam says of the family: Transfer RNA (tRNA) molecules are approximately 80 nucleotides in length. Their secondary structure includes four short double-helical elements and three loops (D, anti-codon, and T loops). Further hydrogen bonds mediate the characteristic L-shaped molecular structure. tRNAs have two regions of fundamental functional importance: the anti-codon, which is responsible for specific mRNA codon recognition, and the 3' end, to which the tRNAs corresponding amino acid is attached (by aminoacyl-tRNA synthetases). tRNAs cope with the degeneracy of the genetic code in two manners: having more than one tRNA (with a specific anti-codon) for a particular amino acid; and 'wobble' base-pairing, i.e. permitting non-standard base-pairing at the 3rd anti-codon position. The record is from RNAcentral.